This 253-nucleotide ribosomal RNA is filed under the name uncultured bacterium. RNAcentral describes it as "partial 16S ribosomal RNA". It matches the Rfam family "Bacterial small subunit ribosomal RNA", at positions 524 to 776 of the family's 1533-position model. The record is from RNAcentral.
UACGAAGGGGGCUAGCGUUGUUCGGAAUUACUGGGCGUAAAGCGCGCGCAGGCGGUUCUUUAAGUCAGGGGUGAAAGCCCAGAGCUCAACUCUGGAACUGCCCUUGAAACUAGAGAACUUGGGUACGGGAGAGGUGAGUGGAAUUCCGAGUGUAGAGGUGAAAUUCGUAGAUAUUCGGAAGAACACCAGUGGCGAAGGCGGCUCACUGGACCAUAACUGACGCUGAGGCGCGAAAGCUAGGGGAGCAAACAGG